RNAcentral lists this ribosomal RNA (467 nucleotides) under uncultured bacterium. RNAcentral's name for it is "partial 16S ribosomal RNA". It matches the Rfam family "Bacterial small subunit ribosomal RNA", at positions 28 to 507 of the family's 1533-position model. The record is from RNAcentral.
GACGAACGCUGGCGGCGUGCUUAACACAUGCAAGUCGAACGGAAAGGCCCUGCUUUUGUGGGGUGCUCGAGUGGCGAACGGGUGAGUAACACGUGAGUAACCUGCCCUUGACUUUGGGAUAACUUCAGGAAACUGGGGCUAAUACCGGAUAGGAGCUCCUGCUGCAUGGUGGGGGUUGGAAAGUUUCGGCGGUUGGGGAUGGACUCGCGGCUUAUCAGCUUGUUGGUGGGUAGUGGCUUACCAAGGCGUUGACGGGUAGCCGGCCUGAGAGGGUGACCGGCCACAUUGGGCCUGAGAUACGGCCCAGACUCCUACGGGAGGCAGCAGUGGGGAAUAUUGCACAAUGGGCGGAAGCCUGAUGCAGCAACGCCGCGUGCGGGAUGACGGCCUUCGGGUUGUAAACCGCUUUCGCCUGUGACGAAGCGUGAGUGACGGUAAUGGGUAAAGAAGCACCGGCUAACUACGUG